Fundulus heteroclitus (mummichog) is the source of this 319-nucleotide long non-coding RNA. RefSeq lists it as uncharacterized. The record is from RefSeq and is a predicted model, not a curated record. The transcript has 3 exons. Lineage: Eukaryota; Metazoa; Chordata; Actinopteri; Cyprinodontiformes; Fundulidae.
CGUUUGAUGAUGUCCCCCAUUCGGUGAAUAAAACCCUCCUUCUCCGAUGGCAGGAUGAAUUCACUUCGAACCUAGGAGAUAAUGAAGAAGAGUUUAAAAAGGAGUCACAAUGCUUAAUUCCGUUUUGUCUGAAGAAUAUGUCUACAGCAAAGUGCGACUUUAUGCAGAUGACUCCAAAAUCUACUCAGUUGGCUCUGGUCUAAGAUGAGCUUCAGGAUCUUUCAACUACUUCAAUCAUAACUGUGUGCCUUUAUUGGCUAAAUAUCCCUCAAAAGAAAGAUGUUGAUCUUUAGGAACUUCCUGGUUAGACAAGGAAAAC